Molecule: ribosomal RNA, 463 nt
Filed under: uncultured bacterium
Lineage: Bacteria
Description: partial 16S ribosomal RNA
Rfam family: Bacterial small subunit ribosomal RNA
Source: RNAcentral
GACGAACGCUGGCGGCGUGCUUAACACAUGCAAGUCGAACGGAAAGGCCUUUUCGGCGGUACUCGAGUGGCGAACGGGUGAGUAACACGUGGGUGAUCUGCCCUGCACUCUGGGAUAAGCCUGGGAAACUGGGUCUAAUACCGGAUAGGACCGCACUUUAGUGUGUGUGGUGGAAAGUUUUUUCGGUGUAGGAUGAGCCCGCGGCCUAUCAGCUUGUUGGUGGGGUAAUGGCCUACUAAGGCGGCGACGGGUAGCCGGACUGAGAGGUUGGUCGGCCACAUUGGGACUGAGAUACGGCCCAGACUCCUACGGGAGGCAGCAGUGGGGAAUAUUGCACAAUGGGCGCAAGCCUGAUGCAGCGACGCCGCGUGGGGGAUGACGGCCUUCGGGUUGUAAACUCCUUUCGCCAGGGACGAAGCGUUUUGUGACGGUACCUGGAGAAGAAGCACCGGCUAACUACGUG